RNAcentral lists this ribosomal RNA (104 nucleotides) under Cercocebus atys (sooty mangabey). RNAcentral also lists the same sequence under 1 other name. The record is from RNAcentral. Lineage: Eukaryota; Metazoa; Chordata; Mammalia; Primates; Cercopithecidae.
AUCUACUGCCAUACCAUCCUGAAUGCGCCUGAUCUCUUCUGAUCUUGGAAGCUAAGCAGGGUCGGGCCUAGUUAGUAUUGGAUAGGAGAAUAAUACAGGGUAUU